UCCACUUUGGUUCAGUGGCUGAACCUACCGCAACCGUAAAUUUUCGGAAGCGGGAGGUCGGAGGUUCGAAUCCUCCUGGUGUAG
Molecule: non-coding RNA, 84 nt
Organism: Mycena capillaripes
Lineage: Eukaryota; Fungi; Basidiomycota; Agaricomycetes; Agaricales; Mycenaceae
Source: the annotation of a GenBank genome assembly